UUAACCUGCAUCGAGGGAUUCACGGCCAGACGAAUAUAGUGUUUGAGUCAUGUUCAAAGCUAUCGGUCAUUGUUCAUGGCCUGUUGGUUGUAUUACAACCCCCACUGAAGACCUUUUCCAAGAAAAACUCAGUAUUCCAAAGAAUUCUUCCCAGCCGGUGGACAAAGGCUAAAAAAACGAAAGUGGAAAGUGUCAUUUUGGGCAAAAACUUCAAAAAGAAAUUGGCAGCAGACGGUAAAAGCUUUGUGAUAGAAGAGAAAUACUUGCAGCAUGCCUACCGUUUCCUUUCAACACUACGAUCCUGCUUGCUGCUUUCCUAUGAUGGACUGUACAGUUAUUUCAUCUCCGUAUCAGAAACGCUGCCUUCCUCAUGCAAGCUGGAGCUUGAAAAACUGGAUCUGAAAGUCCGGCUCAGUGAGUUAUCUGACAAAGUGACGGUAAGUUUGCUCAUUGCUUAUUCUGUAAUCUGAUACUAACCUGUCACCCCAAACUAGUUUCCUUAUACUAUUGGGGUAUUAAAAAGUGCUUUACAUACUGUAUUCUCUGUGUUUACACAAAUUGUUGAUUAUUUAAUAUUUUAACCAUAGGAAAUAGAAGACCCCAAUGAUCUGGCAGAAGCAAUAAAUAGCAGCCUAAUAGAACUAUCAGCUCAACUUCUCAAUCUGUGGGGAAAAUUUCUUCAAUCCUCCUUCGAGAGUGAACAAGAGAAGAAGCAAAUAAAGGAAGAAAAGUUCAAGAAAUUAUUCUUUUCUACUGACCAUCCCCAACAAGAAGCUAUUUUAUAUGAUGAGAAGAUAACCGAAAGCCACAAAGAGAUUUAUGAAAAAGUCAAAAAAGCUCCAAAAGAUGAUUGUCUCGAGUGCCGGGACACGGACAUGGUAUCAAAAUCUGCCCCCGUUGUCUUUGAAGACCGGUACUUAGAGCCUGAAGCAAUAGGUACGUAUGGAAAGAAUCCACAGGUGCUGCUGCCUCAGUGUGUGACAGUUG
Molecule: long non-coding RNA, 987 nt
Organism: Xenopus laevis (African clawed frog)
Lineage: Eukaryota; Metazoa; Chordata; Amphibia; Anura; Pipidae
Exons: 6
Source: RefSeq, a predicted model, not a curated record